GACGAACGCUGGCGGCGUGCUUAACACAUGCAAGUCCAGCGGUAAGGCCCUUUCGGGGGUACACGAGCGGCGAACGGGUGAGUAACACGUGGGUGACCUGCCCUCAGCUCUGGGAUAAGCCUGGGAAACCGGGUCUAAUACUGGAUAUGACUCCAUGACGCAUGUUGUGGGGUGGAAAGCCUUGUGCGGCUGAGGAUGGGCCCGCGGCCUAUCAGCUUGUUGGUGGGGUG
Molecule: ribosomal RNA, 230 nt
Filed under: uncultured bacterium
Lineage: Bacteria
Description: partial 16S ribosomal RNA
Rfam family: Bacterial small subunit ribosomal RNA
Source: RNAcentral